This 238-nucleotide long non-coding RNA is filed under the name Carica papaya (papaya). RNAcentral's name for it is "long non-coding RNA (CPAP_LNC008921)". The record is from RNAcentral. Lineage: Eukaryota; Viridiplantae; Streptophyta; Magnoliopsida; Brassicales; Caricaceae.
AGUUUGUAACGACUUCGCAAAGCAUGACACAAAAAUUUCCUGCAUUUCAUGAUUUAUUUGAUUUUCUGUAUUAUCUGGCAUGAUGUAUAUUUGAUCUUUUGUGCUAACGUACCAUUUUCGUAUUCAAACAAAUUAUUUUCAUAAUGGUGAGAUAGAUAAAUGAGAAAGCUAAAUGGUAAGAUAAAAUAAUAAACUUUUGAAAUAUUACGAUGUUAAUUUAAUUUUCCUUACUGAGCAU